RNAcentral lists this ribosomal RNA (265 nucleotides) under uncultured archaeon. Its description in RNAcentral is "partial 16S ribosomal RNA". It matches the Rfam family "Archaeal small subunit ribosomal RNA", at positions 717 to 982 of the family's 1478-position model. The record is from RNAcentral.
ACACGACUACAUUAGAUACCCCUGUAGUCCUAGGCGUAAAUGAUGCGAGUUAAGUGUGGGGGCAUCUACGAGAUGGCCCUGUGCUGUAGGGUAGCCGUUAAACUCGCUGCCUGGGGAGUACGGUCGCAAGGCUGAAACUUAAAGGAAUUGGCGGGGGAGCACCACAACGCGUGGAGCCUGCGGUUUAAUUGGAUUCAACGCCGGAAAUCUUACCGGGACCGACAGCAACAUGGAGGCCAAGCUGAAGACUUUGCCGGAUUAGCUG